This 104-nucleotide small nuclear RNA is filed under the name Dasypus novemcinctus (nine-banded armadillo). The record is from RNAcentral. Lineage: Eukaryota; Metazoa; Chordata; Mammalia; Cingulata; Dasypodidae.
GUGCUCGCUUCAGUGGCAUAUAUACUAAAACUGAAACAAUACAAAGAUUAGCAUGACACCUGUGCACAGAUGACAUGCAAAUUCAUGAAGUGAUCCAUGUAUUU